UAUAUAGAGUUCAGCUAUGGUGCUUGUAAAAGCACCAAGCACUUGGUGCUUGUAAGUUUUUUACCGUUAGAUCUACUUCUCGGAUCAUUUUCAGCCAUUAGAUUAUACUAUUCAACCAACCACUCACUCAACCCUAGGGGGCCCACAUCAUCCUAACCGCGUAUCUCUUAAUCCAAUAGCUAAAAACCUACAAGCACCAAUAACUUGGUACUUUUAAAAGCAUAGGAGCUCAAUUUUAUAUAUAUAUAUAUAUAUAUAUAUAGAGUGAGGCUACUAUGCUAUCGGAAGCACGGAGCCUUCUGUGCUUCCAGCUCGUUUUCGAUGUUGCGACUUUCGAAUCGUUGAUCGGCUCUGUUAAACUUGAUCUAGAGUAUUUGGAGUACCUAGAAAAUAAAUUUUAUUAUUUUUCGAUACCAUUUGCCUAGUGAUCGAAUGUGCUCAAAAUCAAUAAAUUUCAAUGGCCGUAGUGAGCCGUUUGCAAGUUUAAUGGUGUAGAAAUAUCCAAAUCACGUGAAAUUUUGAUAGAAAAUUCUUUAUACUAUAUAAAACAAGAUCAAUAUCUUUGAUUUAAAAUUUUAAUGUCAUAUUAUUACNAAUAGUAUAAAUAUCUCUCAAAGAAUGCAAAUUUUGUUUAAAAAGUGUAACUUUCAUCUUAAAAGAUGCAGUUUACAUCUCAAAGAGUGCAAUAAGAGGAGAAACAAUAUAAAUAUCUUUUAAAGAGUGCAAUUUUUGUCUAAAGUGUGUAAUUUUUAUCUUAAAUAUAUGGUGCAGUUUACAUUUUAAGUAGUACAACUUAUGUUCAUAAUAGUGUAACGUUCUUUAAAACAGUAUAAUUUUAUUUUAACGGUACAAUUUUAUCUUCAUCUUUUUUUUUCUAUAAUUAUUUGUCUUUAUUUUUUUUCUUUUUCUUUCUUCUAUAAUUUUUUUU
Molecule: long non-coding RNA, 928 nt
Filed under: Ananas comosus (pineapple)
Lineage: Eukaryota; Viridiplantae; Streptophyta; Magnoliopsida; Poales; Bromeliaceae
Description: long non-coding RNA (ACOM_LNC022635)
Source: RNAcentral